RNAcentral lists this ribosomal RNA (474 nucleotides) under uncultured bacterium. RNAcentral describes it as "partial 16S ribosomal RNA". It matches the Rfam family "Bacterial small subunit ribosomal RNA", at positions 28 to 507 of the family's 1533-position model. The record is from RNAcentral.
GAUGAACGCUAGCGGCAGGCCUAACACAUGCGAGUCGAGGGAGGAGCUUUCGGGCUUCGACCGGCGUACGGGUGCGUAACGCGUAUACAAUCUGCCUUUCACAUAGGGAUAGCCCGAAGAAAUUUGGAUUAAUACCUAAUGGUAUAUAGGAGUGGCAUCACAUUUAUAUUAAAGCUGAGGCGGUGAAAGAUGAGUAUGCGUUCUAUUAGCUAGUUGGAGAGGUAACGGCUCCCCAAAGCGACGAUAGAUAGGGGUUCUGAGAGGGAUAUCCCCCACACUGGUACUGAGAUACGGACCAGACUCCUACGGGAGGCAGCAGUGAGGAAUAUUGGACAAUGGUCGGAAGACUGAUCCAGCCAUGCCGCGUGCAGGAAGACGGCCUUAUGGGUUGUAAACUGCUUUUGCAGGGGAAGAAUAAGGACUACGAGUAGUUUGAUGACGGUACUCUGCGAAUAAGCAUCGGCUAACUCCGUG